AACGAACGCUGGCGGCAUGCCUAACACAUGCAAGUCGAACGAGACCUUCGGGUCUAGUGGCGCACGGGUGCGUAACGCGUGGGAACCUGCCCUUAGGUUCGGAAUAACUCCCCGACAGGGGUGCUAAUACCGGAUAAUGUCUUCGGACCAAAGAUUUAUCGCCUUUGGAUGGGCCCGCGUUGGAUUAGCUAGUUGGUAGGGUAAAAGCCUACCAAGGCGACGAUCCAUAGCUGGUCUGAGAGGAUGAUCAGCCACACUGGGACUGAGACACGGCCCAGACUCCUACGGGAGGCAGCAGUGGGGAAUAUUGGACAAUGGGCGAAAGCCUGAUCCAGCAAUGCCGUGUGAGUGAUGAAGGCCUUAGGGUUGUAAAGCUCUUUUACCCGGGAUGAUAAUGACAGUACCGGGAGAAUAAGCUCCGGCUAACUCCGUG
This 433-nucleotide ribosomal RNA is filed under the name uncultured bacterium. RNAcentral describes it as "partial 16S ribosomal RNA". It matches the Rfam family "Bacterial small subunit ribosomal RNA", at positions 29 to 507 of the family's 1533-position model. The record is from RNAcentral.